GUGCCAGCAGCUGCGGUAAUACGGAGGAUCCGAGCGUUAUCCGGAUUUAUUGGGUUUAAAGGGUGCGUAGGCGGCCUAUUAAGUCAGGGGUGAAAUACGGUGGCUCAACCAUCGCAGUGCCUUUGAUACUGAUGGGCUUGAAUCCAUUUGAAGUGGGCGGAAUAAGACAAGUAGCGGUGAAAUGCAUAGAUAUGUCUUAGAACUCCGAUUGCGAAGGCAGCUCACUAAGCUGGUAUUGACGCUGAUGCACGAAAGCGUGGGAUCGAACAGGAUUAGAUACCCUGGUAGUCCACGCCCUAAACGAUGAUAACUCGAUGUUGGCAUAGACAGCCAGCGU
Molecule: ribosomal RNA, 337 nt
Filed under: uncultured Sphingobacterium sp.
Lineage: Bacteria; Pseudomonadati; Bacteroidota; Sphingobacteriia; Sphingobacteriales; Sphingobacteriaceae
Description: bacterial SSU rRNA
Rfam family: Bacterial small subunit ribosomal RNA
Source: RNAcentral